RNAcentral lists this ribosomal RNA (145 nucleotides) under Pseudomonas aeruginosa. Lineage: Bacteria; Pseudomonadati; Pseudomonadota; Gammaproteobacteria; Pseudomonadales; Pseudomonadaceae. The record is from RNAcentral.
CUUGACGAUCAUAGAGCGUUGGAACCACCUGAUCCCUUCCCGAACUCAGAAGUGAAACGACGUGGGGCGGCACAAUGUCGCCAAUGCCCUGGCUGCCGCCGCUGCCGCCCAUGCACUGGGCGUGCCNGAUUGUGUGUUGUAAGGU